This 617-nucleotide small RNA is filed under the name Hordeum vulgare subsp. vulgare (domesticated barley). Lineage: Eukaryota; Viridiplantae; Streptophyta; Magnoliopsida; Poales; Poaceae. The record is from RNAcentral.
GGGCAACCAGUAGAGGAAGGUAUAAGCAACAAGCUUGGAGAAGAAGAGGCAGAAUGCGUAUUCCGCGACACCGGGCAAUCUCCAUGCCUCCAAGAACCCAAUGGCCCUAGGCAGCUGAGAUCCCAUUUCCAAUUCCAAUUCACCAUCGUCAUCCUCUUUCUUGUCCUCUACAAGAAGUUCCACCUCCUCCCCACCAUCCCCACUCAUCUCAACCUCCAUUGCUUCCAUCGGAGGAGGAGGAGGCGGCCGGGGCUAGGGAGGAGCGGAGGGGUCUGUGGUCAUCGGAGGCGGCGAGGUGGGGGAUCUGGCACUGGCACGCGGAAAGGAAGAAGAAAGACGACUGGCGACUAGGAGCAGAAGUACGAACGAGGGAAUUGACUUUUCCUUCUGGUUGUGGCCUGUGGGGAAGCAAAAAAAAAUCUUCUUUGCUGAAUUGAAAAAGCCAAAUGAGAAUAUUUUCUCAUGGUUACUGAUUUAUCUUCAUAGAGUACAACAGAAGAAUGUGAAGAUUGAUGUGGGCAAAACAAAAUGCAGCGUGUGUCAAGGUGUGAUUUAUGUUGUUGAUUUUGGGCUUGUGUUGUAGGUGAAGUGGUUAUGCAUAAAUUCAUCAAGUAGGC